Molecule: long non-coding RNA, 230 nt
Filed under: Elaeis guineensis (African oil palm)
Lineage: Eukaryota; Viridiplantae; Streptophyta; Magnoliopsida; Arecales; Arecaceae
Description: long non-coding RNA (EGUI_LNC041803)
Source: RNAcentral
AGCAGCCAUAGAGAUGACGAUGAUGCUAUCAUGCACAAGUGAUAGCCCUCUUUCUUUUUCGAUAUUUUAUAUAUGAUGUAUCAUUUUAUAUUUUUUUAUAAAUUCUUUCAGUUAUAAUGGACAUUCAUUCAUCUUAGAUAAUGCAAAAACUUAUCACUUUGAUAUGUAAUAUAAAUGUUAUUUUGUGAUUUCUUAUUAUAUAACAAGAAAUUUUGGAGUUUUUCAAUAUU